RNAcentral lists this ribosomal RNA (459 nucleotides) under uncultured bacterium. RNAcentral's name for it is "partial 16S ribosomal RNA". It matches the Rfam family "Bacterial small subunit ribosomal RNA", at positions 338 to 795 of the family's 1533-position model. The record is from RNAcentral.
CCUACGGGAGACAGCAGUGAGGAAUAUUGGUCAAUGGACGCAAGUCUGAACCAGCCAUGCCGCGUGCAGGAAGACGGCUCUAUGAGUUGUAAACUGCUUUUGUACGAGGGUAAACGCAGAUACGCGUAUCUGUCUGCAAGUAUCGUACGAAUAAGGAUCGGCUACCCCGUGCCAGCCGCCGGGGUAAUUCGGAGGAUUCAAGCGUUAUCCGGAUUUAAUGGGUUUAAAGGGGUCGUAGGAGGUUGGAUAAGUUAGGGGGGAAAUCUCGAGGCUCAACUUCGGAAUUGCCUUUGAUACUGUUAGGCUUGAGAGGAGUUGCGGUAGGCGGAAUGUAUGGUGUAGCGGUGAAAUGCUUAGAGAUCACACAGAACACCGAUUGCGAAGGCAGCUUACCAAGCUACGUCUGACGUUGAGGCACGAAAGCGUGGGGAGCAAACAGGAUUAGAUACCCGAGUAGUC